CAAUAGCGUAUAUUUAAGUUGUUGCAGUUAAAAAGCUCGUAGUCGGAUUUUGGCUGAGAACGAACGGUCCGCCGUUAGGUGUGCACUGUUUGGUCUCAGCUUCCUGGUGAGGAGGUGUGCUUCACGGCCACUUAGUCACCGUGGUUACUUUGAAAAAAUUAGAGUGUUCAAAGCGGGCUUACGCUUGAAUAUAUUAGCAUGGAAUAACACCAUAGGACUCCUGUCCUAUUUCGUUGGUCUCGGGACGGGAGUAAUGAUUAAGAGGAACAGUUGGGGGCAUUCGUAUUUCAUUGUCAGAGGUGAAAUUCUUGGAUUUAUUAAAGACUAACUUAUGCGAAAGCAUUUGCCAAGGAUGUUUUCAUUAA
Molecule: ribosomal RNA, 365 nt
Filed under: uncultured eukaryote
Lineage: Eukaryota
Description: partial 18S ribosomal RNA
Rfam family: Eukaryotic small subunit ribosomal RNA
Source: RNAcentral